UACGUAGGGUCCGAGCGUUGUCCGGAAUUAUUGGGCGUAAAGGGCUCGUAGGCGGUUCGUCACGUCGGGAGUGAAACGUCGGGGCUUAAACCCCGAGCCUGCUUCCGAUACGGGCAGACUAGAGGUAGGCAGGGGAGAGGCGGAAACUCCGUGGUGUAGCGGUGGAAUGCGCAGAGUAUCAGGAAGAACACCGGUGGCGAAGGCGGCUCUCUGGGCCU
RNAcentral lists this ribosomal RNA (218 nucleotides) under uncultured bacterium. RNAcentral's name for it is "partial 16S ribosomal RNA". It matches the Rfam family "Bacterial small subunit ribosomal RNA", at positions 524 to 736 of the family's 1533-position model. The record is from RNAcentral.